Molecule: ribosomal RNA, 492 nt
Filed under: uncultured bacterium
Lineage: Bacteria
Description: partial 16S ribosomal RNA
Rfam family: Bacterial small subunit ribosomal RNA
Source: RNAcentral
AGUGAACGCUGGCGGUAGGCCUAACACAUGCAAGUCGAACGGCAGCACAGUAAGAGCUUGCUCUUACGGGUGGCGAGUGGCGGACGGGUGAGGAAUACAUCGGAAUCUACUUUUUCGUGGGGGAUAACGUAGGGAAACUUACGCUAAUACCGCAUACGCCCUACGGGUGAAAGCAGGGGAUCUUCGGACCUUGCGCGAUUGAAUGAGCCGAUGUCGGAUUAGCUAGUUGGCGGGGUAAAGGCCAACCAAGGCGACGAUCCGUAGCUGGUCUGAGAGGAUGAUCAGCCACACUGGAACUGAGACACGGUCCAGACUCCUACGGGAGGCAGCAGUGGGGAAUAUUGGACAAUGGGCGCAAGCCUGAUCCAGCCAUACCGCGUGGGUGAAGAAGGCCUUCGGGUUGUAAAGCCCUUUUGUUGGGAAAGAAAAGCAGCAGGUUAAUACCCCGCUGUUCUGACGGUACCCAAAGAAUAAGCACCGGCUAACUUCGUG